RNAcentral lists this signal recognition particle RNA (99 nucleotides) under Oenococcus kitaharae. Its description in RNAcentral is "signal recognition particle sRNA small type". It matches the Rfam family "Bacterial small signal recognition particle RNA". Rfam says of the family: The signal recognition particle (SRP) is a universally conserved ribonucleoprotein involved in the co-translational targeting of proteins to membranes. Archaeal SRP consists of a 7S RNA and homologues of the eukaryotic SRP19 and SRP54 proteins. Lineage: Bacteria; Bacillati; Bacillota; Bacilli; Lactobacillales; Lactobacillaceae. RNAcentral also lists the same sequence under 2 other names. The record is from RNAcentral.
AAUGGAAUAGCGGGCAAACGCCGCUAGUGAAUCAGGUCAGGACAGGAAUGUAGCAGCCUUAAACUAGUCAGGCGCUGUGCUCGUUUUUAUUUCUGCAAU